GGAAAAGGAGUUACAGGCCUAAGACUAAGAUAUUAAAGCCAACUAAAGUCCAGACCAAAAGCUUACAAUAAGAAGCCCUUAAGGCCCAUAAACAAAACUCUAGAGCAAGGAAAGUUGCAGAUGAGAUUGUCUCCACCAAGCCAGUCGUCAACGGCAUUUUCAAUAGCAAUAGGGAAGCUGAUCCAAAUAAGAAAAGGGAGAUCAUUUUUUUCUCAAGAAACUAGCUUAAAGAGAGAUCAUUUUUUUGCUCAGGAAACUAACUUCAACAAAAAACUAGCCAAAACUCCAAUCUAUCUUUCCUUCACGACCGUAGACCCAACAGAUCCUUGAACCAACGACAAAAACAAUAGUCUUUGAAGAGGUGGUGCACGACAGAGCUCUUAGCAUUUCAAGCCUUAAGGGUCAACUCCAAUCGGCUGGCAAUCGCAAGAACCAGUCGAACAGUUAUAUGACCCCAGAGGUACUGAGCACAACUAAAAGGAUUACACC
RNAcentral lists this unclassified non-coding RNA (489 nucleotides) under Hevea brasiliensis (rubber tree). Lineage: Eukaryota; Viridiplantae; Streptophyta; Magnoliopsida; Malpighiales; Euphorbiaceae. The record is from RNAcentral.